RNAcentral lists this transfer RNA (72 nucleotides) under Ailuropoda melanoleuca (giant panda). It matches the Rfam family "tRNA". From Rfam's summary of the family: Transfer RNA (tRNA) molecules are approximately 80 nucleotides in length. Their secondary structure includes four short double-helical elements and three loops (D, anti-codon, and T loops). The record is from Rfam by way of RNAcentral. Lineage: Eukaryota; Metazoa; Chordata; Mammalia; Carnivora; Ursidae.
ACCUGGCUGGCUCAGUCGGAGAGCAUGUGACUCUUGAUCUCAAGGUUGUGAGUUUGAGUCCUACAUUGGGUG